GACGUGGGCCCCAAGCGUUAUCCGGUGUUACUGGGCAUAAAGAGUCGCGUAGGCGGCUAUGAAAGUUAUUCUUUAAAUCCCGAUGCUCAACAUCGGGACUGGGAGUAAGACUCCAUAGCUAGAAUUUUGUAUGAGGGUAAAUGGAACUGUGAGAGGAGUAGUGAAAUGCGUUGAUCCUCACGGGAACACCAGUGGCGAAGGCGAUUUACUGUAACAAAAUUGACGCUGAGGCACGAAAGCUAGGGGAGCG
This 250-nucleotide ribosomal RNA is filed under the name uncultured bacterium. RNAcentral describes it as "partial 16S ribosomal RNA". It matches the Rfam family "Bacterial small subunit ribosomal RNA", at positions 524 to 770 of the family's 1533-position model. The record is from RNAcentral.